GAUGAACGCUGGCGGCGUGCCUAAUACAUGCAAGUCGAGCGAACAGAUAAGGAGCUUGCUCCUUUGACGUUAGCGGCGGACGGGUGAGUAACACGUGGGUAACCUACCUAUAAGACUGGAAUAACUCCGGGAAACCGGGGCUAAUGCCGGAUAACAUUUAGAACCGCAUGGUUCUAAAGUGAAAGCUAGUUUUGCUAUCACUUAUAGAUGGACCCGCGCCGUAUUAGCUAGCUGGUAAGGUAACGGCUUACCAAGGCAACGAUACGUAGCCGACCUGAGAGGGUGAUCGACCACACUGGAACUGAGACACGGUCCAGACUCCUACGGGAGGCAGCAGUAGGGAAUCUUCCGCAAUGGGCGAAAGCCUGACGGAGCAACGCCGCGUGAGUGAUGAAGGUCUUCGGAUCGUAAAACUCUGUUAUUAGGGAAGAACAAAUGUGUAAGUAACUGUGCACGUCUUGACGGUACCUAAUCAGAAAGCCACGGCUAACUACGUG
Molecule: ribosomal RNA, 497 nt
Filed under: uncultured bacterium
Lineage: Bacteria
Description: partial 16S ribosomal RNA
Rfam family: Bacterial small subunit ribosomal RNA
Source: RNAcentral